Non-coding RNA from Triticum aestivum (bread wheat), 136 nucleotides. NCBI's taxonomy places the organism in Eukaryota, Viridiplantae, Streptophyta, Magnoliopsida, Poales, Poaceae. The record is from Rfam.
AUUCUACUCCCUCCGUUGCACAAUACAUGCCUUCUAUUUGUCAAAAUAUAUAUGUAUCUAGACAUGUUUUAGUAUAUAGGUACAUCCAUUUUUGGACAAAUGGAAGUCAAGUAUUUUGGAACGGUGGAAGUACAUA